RNAcentral lists this ribosomal RNA (437 nucleotides) under uncultured Cellulomonas sp. RNAcentral describes it as "bacterial SSU rRNA". It matches the Rfam family "Bacterial small subunit ribosomal RNA", at positions 945 to 1382 of the family's 1533-position model. Lineage: Bacteria; Bacillati; Actinomycetota; Actinomycetes; Micrococcales; Cellulomonadaceae. The record is from RNAcentral.
AUUAAUUCGAUGCAACGCGAAGAACCUUACCAAGGCUUGACAUACACCGGUAACGCCCAGAGAUGGGUGCCCCUUUGUGGUCGGUGGACAGGUGGUGCAUGGUUGUCGUCAGCUCGUGUCGUGAGAUGUUGGGUUAAGUCCCGCAACGAGCGCAACCCUCGUCCUAUGUUGCCAGCGGGUCAUGCCGGGGACUCAUGGGAGACUGCCGGGGUCAACUCGGAGGAAGGUGGGGAUGACGUCAAAUCAUCAUGCCCCUUAUGUCUUGGGCUUCACGCAUGCUACAAUGGCCGGUACAAAGGGCUGCGAUACCGCGAGGUGGAGCGAAUCCCAGAAAGCCGGUCUCAGUUCGGAUUGGGGUCUGCAACUCGACCCCAUGAAGUCGGAGUCGCUAGUAAUCGCAGAUCAGCAACGCUGCGGUGAAUACGUUCCCGGGCCUU